GACGAACGCUGGCGGCGUGCUUAACACAUGCAAGUCGAACGGAAAGGCCCUGCUUUUGUGGGGUGCUCGAGUGGCGAACGGGUGAGUAACACGUGAGUAACCUGCCCUUGACUUUGGGAUAACUUCAGGAAACUGGGGCUAAUACCGGAUAGGAGCUCCUGCUGCAUGGUGGGGGUUGGAAAGUUUCGGCGGUUGGGGAUGGACUCGCGGCUUAUCAGCUUGUUGGUGAGGUAGUGGCUUACCAAGGCUUUGACGGGUAGCCGGCCUGAGAGGGUGACCGGACACAUUGGGACUGAGAUACGGCCCAGACUCCUACGGGAGGCAGCAGUGGGGAAUAUUGCACAAUGGGCGGAAGCCUGGUGCAGCAACGCCGCGUGCGGGAUGACGGCCUUCGGGUUGUAAACCGCUUUCGCCUGUGACGAAGCGAGAGUGACGGUAAUGGGUAAAGAAGCACCGGCUAACUACGUG
Molecule: ribosomal RNA, 468 nt
Filed under: uncultured bacterium
Lineage: Bacteria
Description: partial 16S ribosomal RNA
Rfam family: Bacterial small subunit ribosomal RNA
Source: RNAcentral